Molecule: ribosomal RNA, 300 nt
Filed under: uncultured Bacillus sp.
Lineage: Bacteria; Bacillati; Bacillota; Bacilli; Caryophanales; Bacillaceae
Description: bacterial SSU rRNA
Rfam family: Bacterial small subunit ribosomal RNA
Source: RNAcentral
GGUAAUUCGGGUGCCUGCGGCGGGGUAAUACGUCGGUGGCAAGGGUUGUACGGAUGCACUGGGCGUAAAGCGCGCGCAGGCGGUCUUCUACGGCUGGGGUGAAAACCCGGGGCUCAACGCCGGGACGGCCUUGGAUACGGGAAGACUUGAGGAUCGGAGAGGCAAGGGGAAUUCCACGUGUAGCGGUGAAAUGCGUAGAGAUGUGGAGGAACACCUGUGGCGAAGGCGCCUUGCUGGCCGAUUUCUGACGCUGAGGCGCGAAAGCGUGGGGAGCAAACAGGAUUAGAUACCCCGGUAGUC